This 429-nucleotide ribosomal RNA is filed under the name Chloroflexota bacterium. Its description in RNAcentral is "Chloroflexi bacterium partial 16S ribosomal RNA". It matches the Rfam family "Bacterial small subunit ribosomal RNA", at positions 355 to 776 of the family's 1533-position model. The record is from RNAcentral. Lineage: Bacteria; Bacillati; Chloroflexota.
UGGGGAAUAUUGCACAAUGGGCGCAAGCCUGAUGCAGCCAUGCCGCGUGUAUGAAGAAGGCCUGCGGGUUGUAAAGUACUUUCAGCGGGGAGGAAGGGAGUAAAGUUAAUAACUUUGCUCAUUGACGUUACCCGCAGAAGAAGCACCGGCUAACUCCGUGCCAGCAGCCGCGGUAAUACGGAGGGUGCAAGCGGUAAUCGGAAUGACUGGGCGUAAAGCGCACGCAGGCGGUUUGUUAAGUCAGAUGUGAAAUCCCCGGGCUCAACCUGGGAACUGCAUCUGAUACUGGCAAGCUUGAGUCUCGUAGAGGGGGGUAGAAUUCCAGGUGUAGCGGUGAAAUGCGUAGAGAUCUGGAGGAAUACCGGUGGCGAAGGCGGCCCCCUGGACGAAGACUGACGCUCAGGUGCGAGAGCGUGGGGAGCAAACAGG